RNAcentral lists this ribosomal RNA (634 nucleotides) under uncultured bacterium. Its description in RNAcentral is "bacterial SSU rRNA". It matches the Rfam family "Bacterial small subunit ribosomal RNA", at positions 64 to 687 of the family's 1533-position model. The record is from RNAcentral.
GAGGGGCAGCGGGGUUGUAGCAAUACAACUGCCGGCGACCGGCGCACGGGUGAGUAACACGUAUGUAACCUGCCCUCUGCAGGGGGAUAAGCGGAAGAAAUUCCGUCUAAUACCGCAUAAUACAAUUUGGAGACAUCUCCGGGUUGUCAAAGGAGUGAUCCGGCAGAGGAUGGACAUGCGGCGCAUUAGCUAGUCGGCGGGGUAACGGCCCACCGAGGCUACGAUGCGUAGGGGUUCUGAGAGGAAGGUCCCCCACACUGGUACUGAGACACGGACCAGACUCCUACGGGAGGCAGCAGUGAGGAAUAUUGGUCAAUGGGCGGAAGCCUGAACCAGCCAAGUCGCGUGAGGGAAGACGGUCCUAUGGAUUGUAAACCUCUUUUGCAGGGGAGCAAGGCGCGGUACGUGUACCGCGAAGGAGAGUACCCUGAGAAAAAGCAUCGGCUAACUCCGUGCCAGCAGCCGCGGUAAUACGGAGGAUGCGAGCGUUAUCCGGAUUUAUUGGGUUUAAAGGGUGCGCAGGCGGACUGUUAAGUCAGCGGUAAAAGGCGGGGGCCCAACCCCCGGACUGCUCUGGAAACUGCAGCCUGGAGUGCAGGAGAGGUAAGCGGAAUUCCUAGUGUAGCGGUGAAAU